This 496-nucleotide ribosomal RNA is filed under the name uncultured bacterium. RNAcentral describes it as "partial 16S ribosomal RNA". It matches the Rfam family "Bacterial small subunit ribosomal RNA", at positions 28 to 507 of the family's 1533-position model. The record is from RNAcentral.
GAUGAACGCUGGCGGCGUGCCUAAUACAUGCAAGUCGAGCGAACAGACGAGGAUCUCGCUCGGCUGCAGUUAGCGGCGGACGGGUGAGUAAUACGUGGAUAACCUACCGAUAAGACUGGGGUAAGGUCGGGAAACCGGAUAUAAUACCGGAUAAUAUAUUGAACGGCAGGGAUCAUUAGAGAAAGACGGUUUUGCUGACACUUAUAGAUGUAUCCGAGCCGCAGUAGCUAGUUGGUAAGGUAACGGCUUACCAAGGCAACGAUGCGUAGCCGACCUGUGAGGGUGACCGGCCAAACUGAAAUUGAGACACGGUCAAGACCCCAAGGGAGGGCAGCAGUGGGGAAUUUUGAGCAUUGGGGGAAAGCUUAACGAAGCAACGCGGCGUGGGUGAGGAGGGCCUCCGGAUGGUAAAACCCUGUUAUUGGGGAAAAACAAAUGAGUAAAUAACCAUGCUGGUUUGACGGGAACAAAAGAAGAAGCCCACGGUAACCUACGG